RNAcentral lists this transfer RNA (85 nucleotides) under Kaistia soli DSM 19436. Its description in RNAcentral is "tRNA_Leu_CAG". It matches the Rfam family "tRNA". Rfam says of the family: Transfer RNA (tRNA) molecules are approximately 80 nucleotides in length. Their secondary structure includes four short double-helical elements and three loops (D, anti-codon, and T loops). The record is from RNAcentral. Lineage: Bacteria; Pseudomonadati; Pseudomonadota; Alphaproteobacteria; Hyphomicrobiales; Kaistiaceae. RNAcentral also lists the same sequence under 5 other names.
GCCCAGAUGGCGGAAUUGGUAGACGCGCACGGUUCAGGUCCGUGUGACGCAAGUCGUGGAGGUUCGAGUCCUCUUCUGGGCACCA